GCGUUAUCCGGGAUUUAUUGGGCGUAAAGCGUGUGUAGGCGGUCUAUUAAGUCUAAGAUCAAAAGUCCGAAGGCUCAACCUCGGUUCGUCUUAGAUACUGGUAGACUUGAGUGUGGUAGAGGCAAGUGGAAUUUCUAGUGUAGCGGUUAAAUGCGUAGAUAUUAGAAGGAACACCAGUGGCGAAGGCGGCUUGCUGGGCCAUUACUGACGCUGAGACACGAAAGCGUGGGGAGC
This 234-nucleotide ribosomal RNA is filed under the name uncultured bacterium. RNAcentral's name for it is "partial 16S ribosomal RNA". It matches the Rfam family "Bacterial small subunit ribosomal RNA", at positions 538 to 769 of the family's 1533-position model. The record is from RNAcentral.